Long non-coding RNA from Clupea harengus (Atlantic herring), 190 nucleotides. RefSeq lists it as uncharacterized. Lineage: Eukaryota; Metazoa; Chordata; Actinopteri; Clupeiformes; Clupeidae. The record is from RefSeq and is a predicted model, not a curated record. The transcript is spliced from 3 exons.
CCGCCCCGUGUGGAACAAGACUCAACUAUCUCCCAUCAGUGAGGGCAGUGAGAAUCCUGGAAUCCUGAGCGGGGAAUUUAGUGACACUGCCACCACCUCCGCCUCUCGAACCCCCAGCCUGUCUGAGGAUGACCAGAAGACCAGCAGCAGUGGCAGUAGGGCUAAAUCUGCAGCCGACAGCCACCCCUCC